CCUACGGGAGGCUGCAGUGGGGAAUAUUGCACAAUGGGGGAAACCCUGAUGCAGCGACGCCGCGUGAGUGAAGAAGUAAUUCUUUAUGGAAAGCUCUAUCAGCAGGGAAGAAAAUGACGGUACCUGAGUAAGACUCCCCGGCUAACUACGUGCCAGCAGCGGCGGUAAUACGUAGGGGGCAAGCGUUAUCCGGAUUUACUGGGUGUAAAGGGAGCGUAGACGGCAGUGCAAGUUUGGAGUGAAAGGCGGGGGCUCAACCCCGGGACUGCUCUGGAAACUGUACGGCUGGAGGGCGGGAGAGGUAAGUGGAAUUCCUAGGGUAGCGGUGAAAGGCGUAGAUAUUAGGAGGAACACCAGUGGCGAAGGCGGCUUACUGGACUGUAACUGACGUUGAGGCUCGAAAGCGUGGGGAGCAAACAGGAUUAGAUACCCUAGUAGUC
Molecule: ribosomal RNA, 440 nt
Filed under: uncultured bacterium
Lineage: Bacteria
Description: partial 16S ribosomal RNA
Rfam family: Bacterial small subunit ribosomal RNA
Source: RNAcentral